RNAcentral lists this ribosomal RNA (253 nucleotides) under uncultured bacterium. RNAcentral describes it as "partial 16S ribosomal RNA". It matches the Rfam family "Bacterial small subunit ribosomal RNA", at positions 524 to 776 of the family's 1533-position model. The record is from RNAcentral.
UACGGAGGGGGCAAGCGUUAUUCGGAAUUAUUGGGCGUAAAGGGCGCGUAGGCGGCUAGAUGUGUCAAAGGUGAAAUCCCUCGGCUCAACUGAGGAACUGCCUUUGAAACUGUCUGGCUUGAGGCCGGGAGAGGGUAGCGGAAUUCCCAGUGUAGCGGUGAAAUGCGCAGAUAUUGGGAGGAACACCAGUGGCGAGGGCGGCUACCUGGACCGGUUCUGACGCUGAGGCGCGAAAGCGUGGGUAGCAAACAGG